UACGUAGGGUGCAAGCGUUAAUCGGAAUUACUGGGCGUAAAGCGUGCGCAGGCGGCUUUGCAAGACAGAUGUGAAAUCCCCGGGCUUAACCUGGGAACUGCAUUUGAGACUGCAUGGCUGGAGUGCGGCAGAGGGGGAUGGAAUUCCGCGUGUAGCAGUGAAAUGCGUAGAUAUGCGGAGGAACACCAAUGGCGAAGGCAAUCCCCUGGGCCGGCACUGACGCUCAGGCACGAAAGCGUGGGGAGCAAACAGG
Molecule: ribosomal RNA, 253 nt
Filed under: uncultured bacterium
Lineage: Bacteria
Description: partial 16S ribosomal RNA
Rfam family: Bacterial small subunit ribosomal RNA
Source: RNAcentral